GACGAACGCUGGCGGCGUGCCUAAUUCAUGCAAGUCGAGCGGAAUGAUGAAGAAGCUUGCUUCUUCUGAUUUUAGCGGCGGACGGGUGAGUAACACGUGGGCAACCUACCUUGUAGAUUGGGAUAACUCCGGGAAACCGGGGCUAAUACCGAAUAAUCCAUUUUGCUUCAUGGCGAGAUGUUGAAAGACGGUUUCGGCUGUCACUACAAGAUGGGCCCGCGGCGCAUUAGCUAGUUGGUAGGGUAAUGGCCUACCAAGGCGACGAUGCGUAGCCGACCUGAGAGGGUGAUCGGCCACACUGGGACUGAGACACGGCCCAGACUCCUACGGGAGGCAGCAGUAGGGAAUCUUCCACAAUGGACGAAAGUCUGAUGGAGCAACGCCGCGUGAGUGAAGAAGGUUUUCGGAUCGUAAAACUCUGUUGUAAGGGAAGAACACGUACGAGAGUAACUGCUCGUACCUUGACGGUACCUUAUUAGAAAGCCACGGCUAACUACGUG
Molecule: ribosomal RNA, 500 nt
Filed under: uncultured bacterium
Lineage: Bacteria
Description: bacterial SSU rRNA
Rfam family: Bacterial small subunit ribosomal RNA
Source: RNAcentral